Molecule: long non-coding RNA, 379 nt
Organism: Bufo bufo (common toad)
Lineage: Eukaryota; Metazoa; Chordata; Amphibia; Anura; Bufonidae
Exons: 3
Source: RefSeq, a predicted model, not a curated record
AGCAGAGUGAUGUCUGUGUGUGAGGUGCAUGUAGCAGAGCUGUGUGUGUGAAACUAAGAUACAGAUGUCAGAGCAGCAGAGCUCUGUGUGUGAGGUGCAUGUAGCAGAGCUGUGUGUGUGUGAAACUAAGAUACAGAUGUCAGGGCAGCAGAGCUGUGUGUGUGUGAGGUGCAUGUAGCAAGUGCUGUGUGUGUGUGAAACUAAGAUACAGAUGUCAGGACAGCAGAGCUGUGUGUGUGAGGUGCAUGUAGCAGUGCUGUGUGUGGGUGAAACUAAGAUACAGAUGUCAGGGCAGCAGAGCUGUGUGUGUGAGGUGCAUGUAGCAGAGCUGUGUGUGGGUGAAACUUAGAUACAGAUGUCAGGACAGUAGAGCUGUGUG